Molecule: unclassified non-coding RNA, 21 nt
Filed under: Mus musculus (house mouse)
Lineage: Eukaryota; Metazoa; Chordata; Mammalia; Rodentia; Muridae
Description: oocyte_clustered_small_RNA12060
Source: RNAcentral
UGAGUAAGGCGGCUGGCGGGG